RNAcentral lists this long non-coding RNA (366 nucleotides) under Solanum tuberosum (potato). Its description in RNAcentral is "long non-coding RNA (STUB_LNC005024)". The record is from RNAcentral. Lineage: Eukaryota; Viridiplantae; Streptophyta; Magnoliopsida; Solanales; Solanaceae.
AACAUAAAGCAACAAAACAAUAAUACACUAUACUUCCUCAUAUUUAAUUAAUUAUUUUAUUUGUAAGAGAAGAGAUAUGGAGAAUAAUGGAAAGGGCAAAGUAGACACAUCAAACAAUGGAAGUGUGUUUCCAAAGAAAGAUAAGAAGUCAGUGAACGCAAUGGCUAUUGAAAGGAUAGGUAAAACUAUGGUGUCCACUUUCAAGAAUGAUAAGAAGAAGAUUAUCCCCUCUGAUGGCACAUCUUAGUCCCCUUACGAUAAUCAACUUGCUUUUAAGAUUGUGCUAAUAUUAUUGAAUAAUGUAUUUAUUUGAUUCUAAUGUAUUUCAAGGGUUUAACUUAUAUACAUCUCCAGUAUUAUAAAGAA